RNAcentral lists this ribosomal RNA (468 nucleotides) under uncultured bacterium. RNAcentral's name for it is "partial 16S ribosomal RNA". It matches the Rfam family "Bacterial small subunit ribosomal RNA", at positions 28 to 507 of the family's 1533-position model. The record is from RNAcentral.
GACGAACGCUGGCGGCGUGCUUAACACAUGCAAGUCGAACGGAAAGGCCCUGCUUUUGUGGGGUGCGCGAGUGGCGAACGGGUGAGUAACACGUGAGUAACCUGCCCUUGACUUUGGGAUAACUUCAGGAAACUGGGGCUAAUACCGGAUAUGAGCUCCUGCUGCAUGGUGGGGGUUGGAAAGUUUCGGCGGUUGGGGAUGGACUCGCGGCUUAUCAGCUUGUUGGUGGGGUAGUGGCUUACCAAGGCUUUGACGGGUAGCCGGCCUGAGAGGGUGACCGGCCACAUUGGGACUGAGAUACGGCCCAGACUCCUACGGGAGGCAGCAGUGGGGAAUAUUGCACAAUGGGCGGAAGCCUGAUGCAGCAACGCCGCGUGCGGGAUGACGGCCUUCGGGUUGUAAACCGCUUUCGCCUGUGACGAAGCGUGAGUGACGGUAAUGGGUAAAGAAGCACCGGCUAACUACGUG